RNAcentral lists this ribosomal RNA (254 nucleotides) under uncultured bacterium. RNAcentral's name for it is "partial 16S ribosomal RNA". It matches the Rfam family "Bacterial small subunit ribosomal RNA", at positions 524 to 776 of the family's 1533-position model. The record is from RNAcentral.
UACGGAGGGUGCAAGCGUUAAUCGGAAUUACUGGGCGUAAAGCGCGCGUAGGCGGCUGGGUAAGUCGAUUGUGAAAUCCCCGGGCUCAACCUGGGAAUUGCAGUCGAGACUGCCCGGCUAGAGUGUGGGGAGAGGGUGGUGGAAUUCCCGGUGUAGCGGUGAAAUGCGUAGAUAUCGGGAGGAACAUCAGUGGCGAAGGCGGCUUCCUGGCCUGUUCUUGACGCUGAGGCGCGAAAGCCAGGGGAGCAAACGGG